Molecule: ribosomal RNA, 433 nt
Filed under: uncultured bacterium
Lineage: Bacteria
Description: partial 16S ribosomal RNA
Rfam family: Bacterial small subunit ribosomal RNA
Source: RNAcentral
AACGAACGCUGGCGGCAUGCCUAACACAUGCAAGUCGAACGAGACCUUCGGGUCUAGUGGCGCACGGGUGCGUAACGCGUGGGAACCUGCCCUUAGGUUCGGAAUAACUCCCCGAAGGGGGUGCUAAUACCGGAUAAUGUCUUCGGACCAAAGAUUUAUCGCCUUUGGAUGGGCCCGCGUUGGAUUAGCUAGUUGGUAGGGUAAAAGCCUACCAAGGCGACGAUCCAUAGCUGGUCUGAGAGGAUGAUCAGCCACACUGGGACUGAGACACGGCCCAGACUCCUACGGGGGGCAGCAGUGGGGAAUAUUGGACAAUGGGCGAAAGCCUGAUCCAGCAAUGCCGCGUGAGUGAUGAAGGCCUUAGGGUUGUAAAGCUCUUUUACCCGGGAUGAUAAUGACAGUACCGGGAGAAUAAGCUCCGGCUAACUCCGUG